Long non-coding RNA from Drosophila teissieri, 620 nucleotides. RefSeq lists it as uncharacterized. Lineage: Eukaryota; Metazoa; Arthropoda; Insecta; Diptera; Drosophilidae. The record is from RefSeq and is a predicted model, not a curated record. The transcript has 3 exons.
GCAACCCCCGCCAGAAGGACGGUACCGCCAUAUCGCUAGGAGCUCCGCCAGUCAUCGCCGAGGGGAGUCAUCGAAGUUGCAGCCAGUUUGGUUUCAGCAGCUAGGUUUCUUGUCAUGUCAAGAAUCGAGACAGGAUCGGCCAGGAUAACUCGUUGCAGGAGAAGAAACGCUCGGACGACGGCCCCAUCAUAAGCCCAUUUCGCCUGGAGUCAGCCAACUGGAGCCACCAGGCGAGGAUUCGUUGCCAAGGGCUGUGAAAGGAUAAGUGAUUAAUUGUAUCGUUGUUGUUUGGUUGACUGAGUUGUUUUUGUUUUUAGUUUUUAGCGAAUUUUGCGAGGAAGCUAAAUUUGGUGAUCAUUUUUUUGACGCGGGUCAGUGUGUGAAUUUGCGACUGACGAAUUUUGGCAUUUUGGCUAGCAGUAGGUCCACUCAUCGACGGAUGACUGCAGCAUGGAGACGGAGUGUAAAUUCGCAGGAUUGUCAGCCUCGUUUUCGUUGAGAUUCGUCAGCAUGCAUCCGGGGUUACAUCAUGCAAGGAGUGGUUUAUGCUGCCGUCAGGGGGCCAAAAUGCGUUUUCGUGGUGGCAGGAUUCAGGCAUUUCGGCGAGCAGCAGCACCACG